UCGAGCGCAGGAAGCCGUCUGAACCCUUCGGGGGGACGACGGUGGAAUGAGCGGCGGACGGGUGAGUAACACGUAAAGAACCUGCCCAUAGGUCUGGGAUAACCACGAGAAAUCGGGGCUAAUACCGGAUGUGUCAUCGGACCGCAUGGUCCGCUGAUGAAAGGCGCUCCGGCGUCGCCCAUGGAUGGCUUUGCGGUGCAUUAGCUAGUUGGUGGGGUAACGGCCCACCAAGGCGACGAUGCAUAGCCGACCUGAGAGGGUGAUCGGCCACACUGGGACUGAGACACGGCCCAGACUCCUACGGGAGGCAGCA
RNAcentral lists this ribosomal RNA (313 nucleotides) under Exiguobacterium profundum. RNAcentral's name for it is "bacterial SSU rRNA". It matches the Rfam family "Bacterial small subunit ribosomal RNA", at positions 62 to 353 of the family's 1533-position model. Lineage: Bacteria; Bacillati; Bacillota; Bacilli; Caryophanales. The record is from RNAcentral.